Molecule: long non-coding RNA, 530 nt
Organism: Pipra filicauda (Wire-tailed manakin)
Lineage: Eukaryota; Metazoa; Chordata; Aves; Passeriformes; Pipridae
Exons: 2
Source: RefSeq, a predicted model, not a curated record
GCACCGCGGCCGCCCCACCCACCGCGGGGAGGGAGCGGGGGCGGCCAGCGCGCCGGCCCCUGGGAGGUGUAGUGCCGCUCUCUGCGCGCCGGGGGGGAGCAUCGCGCCGAGAACUACAGCGGCCGUGGUGCAGUGCGGAGGGGGUGGGACGGGCUCGCCGAGCAGCGUGGUUGGCCCGAAGGGACGGCGUCAGCCGACUGCCGGGCUGCGAGCGACCAAUGCAAUGUGGCCACUGCUGCGGAAAGCGAGUUUGUACAGUUCCUCGUUAGUAUAGUGGUCAAGACAUCCGAUGUAAACAUGAUGAACUGACAACUUAGGAGGAUACAAGCCCUUUGCUCCACCUUGAUUAUUCUACGGAGACUCCUAGCCAUAAACCUUUUGGCUCAUAAGAGAAGAGGGGAAUGUGUUUGUCCCUCAGAAGGUGCUGAAGCAAUUUACACCAAUAGCUGCUGUAUGCUGCUGAUCCCUACACAUGGUGAAACAGCUGAUCAUAUAAAUACAAAAAGCAACUUAAAAGAAUUUAAUCUUUA